RNA transcript from Trachemys scripta elegans, 2197 nucleotides. It is a transcript of the gene named zinc finger protein 2-like, with no coding region annotated. The transcript has 3 exons. The record is from RefSeq and is a predicted model, not a curated record. Lineage: Eukaryota; Metazoa; Chordata; Testudines; Emydidae.
AGAGGGACAAGGUGUGAUAAUCCUGUUGGGACAUGCUCAGUUUAGGGCCUGGUUUAUGAACAGGCCCAUUGGGGAUGGGGUGAAAAUUCCCCCAUUUCUGAAACAGGAGACAGCCCCCCUGGACAGGGCUGGGAAAACAGACCAGAGUGCUGGAGCCUGAACCCACUAGGCAGAGACUGUGGUGAAAUAUAAAGGGAAGGUGCUGGAAUUCCUGUCCCUGUCCCCUGCAUGGAGCUCUGCUUUCCACAUCAGCCUGUGUCUAGUAUGUGUGUGGUCAAUGAAAAGACCCUGCCCUCUAUCCUCUGCUGGGAGGGUCAAGGAGCUCUCACCUUCUCUGUGUUUCGUGGAGACUCAUGGCCACUCUUGAGUGGGGUGGGGCUAGAAUUCUGCUCCUCCAGGCCUCCCAGAGCUGUUGUAUUUUGGUGCUAUUUCCCCCAUAAACAGUGGAAUUGUGGCUGGGGCAGCAGGUACUGAGUGGGGAGCACUUGUUUUUUCAGAUGCCAGUGACCUUCGAGGAGGUGGCUGCGUAUUUCACCGAGAGGCAGGGGGCUCUGCUGGACCCCGCUCAGAGAGCCCUCUACAAGGAUGUCAUGCAGGAGAAUUACGAGACUGUGACCUCACUGGUGCACUCACAUCAUGCCUGAUUUCACCCCCGAGGAGGACUCCCCAUUCCCAAACCUGACCCGAUCGCCCAGCUGGAAGCAGGGGAAGAGCCAUGGGUCCCGGAUCUCCAGGUCUCUGAGGAAAAGAAGAUCCCAAGAGGCACCCACCCAGCAGGUGAUGAGACAAUGAGUGAGAACGAGGAGGGAGAUCUACAGCAGGAAGGACUUGAGCAAAUGGAACUCCAGGGGACCUUCUUGAGAAAAGCUGGAGAGAAGUUCUCCCAGUGCUUGGAACAGAGAAAAGCCUGGAGUAAUUGGCACAGGUCAGAAAGGAAUCAGGGAAAAUGCCAAAGGAAGAAAAUGGAGGAAUCCAUUGAAUGUGGGAGAGGAGGCAAGGAUCCCAAGGAAUCCGCAGCCCAGCAGACAAAUCAGAAGGAGAAGAAACCAUAUACAUGCUUGGACUGUGGGAAAAGCUUCAGUCGGCGCUCAAUCCUUAUAAGACAUGGGAGAAUCCACACAAAAAACUGUGAAAAUGCCUCCGCUGUAGGAAAAGUUUGUCAGAACUCGCACCUUAUUACACAUCAGACAAUCCACAUAAGAGAGAAUCUGCAUAAAUACUUGAAUGGUGGGAAAGGCUUCAAUCCCAGGCCAAAUCUUCCUAAACAUCAGAAUUCACAAGGGACAGAAUCUAUAAGUGCCUCAACUGUGGAAAAAGUUUCAUUUGAAUAUCAAACCUUGCUUCACAUUAGACGAUCCACACAAGAGAGAGCCCAUAAAUACUUGGAUUGUGGGAAAAUCUUCAAUAAUUGCAGGGAAAGAUUAGUCUAAGCUCACACAUUGUUCCCUCAUGAGCUAAUUCACAGAAGAAAGAGCUUGAAUGUGGGGGUAUCUUCUUUUGAUGCUCACACAGUAUCAAGCAUCAGCAAAUCCAAACAGGGAGGAGCCCUCUCAGAUGUCCUUAGCAUGGAAAUAGGUUCAGUUGGAGCUAACACCACAUUGAACAUCAGAGACUCCUCCACACAGGAGAGAAAUUCUCUCGGUGCCCUGACUAGGGCUGGACGUAGUAAAAACUCCAUUUCCUAAUUCCCACAUACAUCAGUGACAUUUGGCUCCUAGGUAUCCAGCUGCCCAUGUUUGGGGGCAGGUUCCAGCAGCAGCUAACCCUGAUCUGAUCAGCCGCUCCUCCCUGCUGAUGGGCUUUCCUGCCUCCUGGUAACCUGCUGAGGAAUGGGAGAGAGAAAUUCCUCCAGAAGCCCCCUCUGCCUGGAUGAAGUUCUCUUUCCUUUCCCUUCCCAGUCAGGAUGCCCCUACCAUAGAGACUAGGAAAUGGAUACUUGGGCAAGGCUCCACAUUCACUCUGGACACCUGUCCCCACCCCCCAUUUUCCAGUAGCCUAUGGGUUGGGCUCCCCCACUUACCUGGAGCUAGUCCCUGCAGGGUGAGUGUCCUGAGUGCUGGCAACUCUUCCCCUCUCUAAAUCCCCUAAGGUGCUGGGUUCUGGGAGAUCAAAUGUGAAAGGACCAGGAGGGAUGGGUUUUGGGGAAGACAGUGGGUGACUGAAUGGUUGGGUCUGGUGGAUGUGGGGAGCAUAGGGU